RNAcentral lists this ribosomal RNA (790 nucleotides) under uncultured bacterium. Its description in RNAcentral is "bacterial SSU rRNA". It matches the Rfam family "Bacterial small subunit ribosomal RNA", at positions 8 to 777 of the family's 1533-position model. The record is from RNAcentral.
AGAGUUUGAUCAUGGCUCAGAACGAACGCUGGCGGCGUGCCUAACACAUGCAAGUCGAACGUGAUCCAUCCUUCGGGGUGGUGAAAGUGGCGCACGGGUGAGUAACGCGUGGAUAAUCUGCCCGAGGAUUUGGGAUAACAUCUCGAAAGGGGUGCUAAUACCGAAUAAGCCCACGGGGUCUACGGAUCUUGCGGGAAAAGGGGGGGACCUUCGGGCCUCCUGUCAUCGGAUGAGUCCGCGUACCAUUAGCUAGUUGGUGGGGUAAUGGCCUACCAAGGCGACGAUGGUUAGCUGGUCUGAGAGGAUGAUCAGCCACACUGGAACUGAGACACGGUCCAGACUCCUACGGGAGGCAGCAGUGGGGAAUUUUGCGCAAUGGGGGAAACCCUGACGCAGCAACGCCGCGUGGGUGAUGAAGGCCUUCGGGUCGUAAAGCCCUGUCGGGAGGGAAGAAAUGAUUGUGAGCUAAUACCUCGUGAUCUUGACGGUACCUCCGAAGGAAGCACCGGCUAACUCCGUGCCAGCAGCCGCGGUAAUACGGAGGGUGCAAGCGUUGUUCGGAAUUAUUGGGCGUAAAGCGCGUGUAGGCGGUCUUUUAAGUCUGAUGUGAAAGCCCCGGGCUCAACCUGGGAAGUGCAUUGGAAACUGGAAGACUUGAGUACGGGAGAGGAGAGUGGAAUUCCUAGUGUAGGAGUGAAAUCCGUAGAUAUUAGGAGGAACACCGGAGGCGAAGGCAGCCCCCUGGGCCGAUACUGACGCUCAUGCACGAAAGCGUGGGGAGCAAACAGGA